This 23904-nucleotide long non-coding RNA is filed under the name Marmota monax (woodchuck). The stretch from base 6454 to 6522 matches the Rfam family "tRNA". Lineage: Eukaryota; Metazoa; Chordata; Mammalia; Rodentia; Sciuridae. The record is from RNAcentral.
AGCAACUUGGUGAUCCCAGGACCCUGGGGCACCCGCCAGCUUGCUGUAGAGAUUGCAAAAGAGAAAGAGCACAUCAUUUCCAGUUUGCAUCUGUAAAGAACCACAUGUUAAGCUUGGAGCUGACUCACAAAAACAAAGAAAAUUUCAAGCGCUCUUGCAAGAUCUGAGCUGAGAUGAAUCUUUGCACUCAGCAUGGCUGCCCGCCAGAACAGCGGUGCCGGUGAGCCCAUGGCAGGCAGCACUGGUUGCUGUGAGGAGUUCUCUACUCAGCAGGAAAAUUAAAACCCAGCCUUUGUGUGGUCGGAGCUUCCUUCCUCCUUGAUCCUCUUCCUGCCUUUUCCUUGGUCCACAAAUGAUCUCACCUGUGGAGCUGAUGGUCCAGAUAUACCCCUGAUUUGGGCAUCUCCUGGCACAAUGACCCAACACCCAAUGGAAGGUGAGAGCAAACCUAUUUUCACUUCAACUGAGAAGUUGAUGCCGUUAAAUAUCAUUGAUGACCACUGCUGGGUGUGGUGGUGGGCACCUGUAGUCUCAGCCACUUGGGAGACUGAGGCAGGAGGACCACUUGAGCUCAGGAGUGCAUGGCCAGCCUAGGCAACACGGAUUGAUCCUGUAUCAAAAAAUAGAAAAUAGCCAGUAGCUCAGGAGGCAGAGACAGGAGGUUAGCCUCUGCAAAAGUGAGGCGCUAAGUAACUCAGUGAGACCCUGUCUCUAAAUAAAAUACAAAAUAGGGCUGGGGAUGUGCCUUAGUGUCGAGUGCCCCUGAAUUCAGUCUCCAGUAGCCCCCCUCCAAAAAAAGAACAAUAAUGAAAAAUAACCACUCAUGGAAUCAGCAGCCUUUGGAGUUGCUAUUCUAGAACUGUGUGUCACAAUCAAUCUUUGGGAAGCACCGUGUUUUUCCCCAAUCUGUCUUGGACCAGUGCUUUUGUUAAACACAACAGACAAGGAUUACUAAGAUGUGGUCACCCACUUUGAUGUUGCAAAAUAUCCAAUUGCUAUAAAACACUUCUCUCAAUUUUCUUGUCACAGAGCAGAAAUGGGCUGUUUGCAGGUGGCCUGGUCAGUGGCCCGGUCAGUCGCCCACACUGGGAUAGGACAGAAAUUUUCCAUGCUUAUUUCUAUUUCAGACAUGAACACUCUUUUUAUUGUUCUUAUUAAGCUCCAGUGCUGUCAAAUUGACAGCCAGAAAGUCCUUCAUCAGACCGUGCAUCCUGAUUUUCAUCUCCUACUAACUGUGUGUGUGUGUGUGUGUGUGUGUGUGUGUAAGUCGGUGUUGGUUCUUGGGCAUGAUGGAGAGCUUGAUAUGUUCAUAUGAUCCAAGUCCUGGAACUGAUUUUGAUUCUUCCAGUAACAUGCUGAUUUUUUUUUUCUUUGUCUUUUUUUGCUCAAGUUGUUGGGGAUGGAACCCAGGGUCUCACACAGGCUAGGCAAGCGCUCUGCCACUAAGCCACACCCCCAGCCCCCAACGCCCAUUCUUAAUCAUUAGAUGAAGAGGUUCUCACAUCACUAUCGCAGAUAUUCUGAGAAGGAAGGUCCCUUAGCUCUGCGGUAGAAACCACAUUAAGAGCCUCUGCCAAAAUAGAAACUGCAGGGCCUACUUCAAAGAAUUCCCAUGCACACAUUUAUAAAAUUCUGCAGAGCACACAGUUAAAAGGAGCGUGGGACCAUUCUCCUCCUUGCUGCUUUUCUGUAUCAUUCUGCUCUGAAUCCCUUCCCACCACAUGCAGCUUCUCAAAUGUUCUAGUUACUAUGUUUGAAUUUUUGUUAAGCCGAUAAUUUGGUUUUCUAUGUUCCCUCGCCCAUAUUUUUUUUUCUUAAAGAAAAAUUAAAAGCAAUGCAUUACCAAAUAUGACAAGCUCCUAAAAUACACCAUGGAAUGCAGUUCAACGAGAUUCAGUCACUGACAUCAGCGAGUCGUUUCUGUGAUGAUGGAGCUGGCACAGACGUUGAGACUCGUGAGGCCGUGAACUUGUUCAUUUUAAUGCUCAGACCAAGUUCUCUCUUUUUCUCUGGUAAUGUUCUGCAAUGUUUUGGAGUGACGUUAGGCCUGUCCCAUAAAACACUGGGAGGUGUUCCCUCCUCUGUUUCCCGGAACAGUUUGUAUACCAUCAGUUUUAUCAUUUCUUUUAACAUUUGAUGAAAAUCUUGUGAAACCAUCUGGGCCCAGAGUUCCCUUGGGGGGAAGGUUUAUGACAACAAGAUUUCUUUCAUGAAUACAGGGCUAUUCAGAUUUUCCUCUUCGUCUUGUGUAGACUUUGGCCAAUAUACUUGACAGGGAAUUUCUUGAUUUCAUCCAUUGGGCAAAAUGAUUGGCAUCCAGUUACAAAAUUAGCUUGUGAUUCUUUUAAUAUCUAUGAUCUCUGAAGCAAUAACCAGUCUUUCACUGCUGAUACUUGUGAUUUGUCUUUUGUUUCCAUUUUUCUGGAUUACUUAGUUUUGAAUUUAUUUAUUAUCUUGUUUUUAAAACUCUGGGUUUAGCUUUGUCACUUUUUUUUUUCUAAUGUUUGUUUUCUAUUUUGUUGGUUCGUAUUCUUCCAUUUUGGUUUUAGUUUGUGUUUAGCCUCUUGAGGUGGAGUCUUAGGUUCUUGAUCUUAGACAUUUCCUCUUUUCUACUGUAAGUCUCUGAAAGCGUAAAUUUCCCUCCUUGUACAUGCUUUACGUGAUUCCCAUACAUUUCUCUGUGUUUUGUUUCUGUUCUUAGUCAAUUUGAAAUACUCUCUAAAUUCUUUGUGAUUGAUUUUUUGAAACAUGGGUUAUUUGGCAGCACGCUACUUUACUGUCCUACAUGGGGGUGGGGGGAGUUCCUGGAUAUGUUAUUGAUUUCUAAUUUAAUUCUAUUGUGGUCAGAGAACCGAUUUUGUGUGAUUUCAGAUAUUUAAAAAAAGUUUGAGAAGUCAUACUAAGACCCAGCACAUAAUUUGUCUUAGUGAAUUUUCUACGUGGACUUGAAAAGGAAUAGCAGUUAGAUUCAGAUAUGCGGUGCUGAUACUCAGUUCCUGUGUCUCCUGACACUUUUUCUAAUUAAUCGAUAUGUGGUUGAGAGAGAAGUGUUAAAUCUCACUAUGACUGAGGAAUUGUUUCUUUCUCCAAUAAACUAAACAAAGAACGAGAUUUCUUCCACGUGAUAAAUGGCAUCUGUGAAAAACCUAGAGCCAACCUGCUACUUACUCUCGAAACAUCAAGUACUUUCUACGAUCAAGAAAAAGAUAAGGAUUCUCCCCACCCCCCCAACAUACACACACACUCUCUCUCUCUCAUCACUUUUAGUCAACACCGUUCUGAGAACCUCACUGGGGCAAUAAAACAAGAAAAAGAUGUAAAAGGGAUAAAUAUUGGUGGGGAAAAAAGUAAAAUUCUAUUAGAACAUGACAUGAUUGGUUACAUAUAAAAUCUCAAGACGCCUACAAAACUAGUAGUAUAAGAGACAAUAUUUGGCUUUUGGAUUUUGGCAUUGACUUACUUCACUUAGCAUGAUAUUCUCUACCUCCGUCCAUUCUCUCUGAUAAAUGGAUGCUGGUCCAAAACGGGAGGGGGGAGGCACGGGAAAAAAUGGAGGACCUUUGGGCAAAGGGAAGGGAGGUUGGGGAGGGUGCCUGGGGCCAGGAAAGUUGGUAGAAUGAGAUGGACAUUAUUACCCUAGAUACAUGUAAGACUGAACAUAGGGUGUGAUGCUACCUUAUGGACAACCAGAGAAAUGAAAAGUUGUGCUACAGUUGUGCACAAUGAAUCAAAAUGCAUUUUGCUGUUAUACAUUGCAGGAUAUAAAAAAAAAAACAAGAAAACAAUUGUGCUAGACAUGGUGGUGCAUGCCUGUAAUCCCAGUGACUCAGGAGAUUGAGGCAGGAGGAUCAUGGGUUCAAAGCCAGUCUCAGCAACUUAGUAAGGCCCUAAGCAACUCAGCAAGACCCUGUCUCAAAAAAUAAAAAAAAUAAUAAUAAAGGGCUGGGGACAUGUGACUCAGUGGUUAGGCAACCCUGGGUUCAAUCUCUAGUACCAAAAUAAAAAACAAAACAAUUGCAUAGGUACAUACUAGGAGUGAAGAAUUAGAAAAUGAAAAAAUUUAAAACUCCACUUAUAACAACCUUAAUAAAAUAUUUUAACAUAUAUGUAAGAAAUAUGUAAGUCCUCUAGUCCUCUUCAAAGAAAAUUACAGAAUAUUGCUAAAGAGACACUUUAAAAGGCCUGAAUCCAUGAAGGGACAGCAUCCCAAUCUCAUUUGGAUUGGAAGCUAAAUAACAUUAAGACAGAAGAAAUCCUUUCUCUUCAAACUGAUCUAUAGAUUGUAUUCAAACUGAUCUAUACAUUGUAUGUAGUCCCAAUGAGAAUACCAGCAAGGUUUUGCGUAGAAAUUGAGAAGCUGAUUCUAAAAGUUACUUGGAAAUGCAAAGGACCUAGACUAGUCAAAGCACUUUAUACAAAGUUGGAGGGCUGGCACUACCUCAUUGCAAGCUUCCUAUAAGGCUGCAGUGCUCAGGUGGUGUGAUACGGCUCAAAGGACAGAUGCAUGAUUCCCUGAGCACAUCAGAGACAGGCGAAUCAAUGCCCAUGGAUUGAGAUGUGCAUUCAAUUCAAUAAGGAAAGAAAAGUCUUUGCAACAACUGAAUAACUAUAUGUGAAGAAAAUAAGCAUCAUCCCUUAUUGUGUUCAUGUACAGAUUUACUUAUAACGAUAGUAUUAUAAAACUCCUAGGAGCUGGGCAUAAUAGCCCAGUUGGCAGAGUGCCUGCUUCACAUGCACAAAGCCCUGGUUCAAUCCCCAGCACAACAAAACAAAACAAAAAUGACAACAACAACAAAAAACCUCCUAGAAAUAUGGGGAAAAAAAUCUUUGUGACCUUGAGUAAGCAAACUUUUUUUUUUUUUUACACACAGGAUACAGAAAGCACAAACCAUAAAAAAUUGAUAAAUUGCACUUUAUCAAAAAUUUAAAACGUUUGCUCCUCAAAAGUUACCAUGAGGUAAACAAAGGGCAAGUCAGAGAAUAAGAGAACAUAUUAGCAAUAUUGGGUCUGACAUACGAUUCAUAGCCGUAAUAUAUAUAUAGCAAUUAAAUCCAACAUUAAAAAGGCAAAUUAUUUAAAAGAUAUUUCAUCAAAGAAGAUGAGAAUGGCCAAAGUUAAAUAAAAAACACAUGAAAAGAUUUUCAACAUCAUUAUUUUUCCUGGGUAAAGCAAACCAAAUUGCAAUGAAACAUCCUUACGCAGCCACUGGAUGAAAAUCAUGAACCAACAAUACCAAAUCAGUCUUGGUGGGAUUGUAAGGGAUACAAACACUUCAGAAAAUUAUUGAACAGAUUCUUAAAGUUUAGCAUAAACUUGUUAUAUGAUGCAGUUUCUACACUUCUCGGUAUUUGUGUGUGUGUCCACACAAAGACCUAUAUGUAGUGAAUGGUUUGUUUGGUACCAGGGAUUAAACUCAGGGGCACUUAACCACUGAGCCACAUCCCCAGUCUUUUUUUUUUUUUUUGUAUUUUUAUUUAGACACAGGGUCUCACUGAGUUGCUUAGUGCCUCACUAAGUUGCUGAAGCUGGCUUUGAACUCAAUCUCUUGAGCUGCUGGGAUUAUAGGCGUGCACCACUACACCUAGCUUUAGUGAAUGUUUUUGCACAACCCCUCCAAAUAGGAAAAUCCCUAAUGUCUCUCUACAGGUGAGUGGAUGAUUACUCUGUAGUAUGUCCACUACAGAAGAAUACCAGGCAGCAAUAAAAAGAAAUGAGCUAUUGACACUCAUUCUGCAGAAAGGAAUCUCAGAAUGUACAAUUUCACACUGCAAAAACAGAAGGAAAAUGUUCUUGUGACCUAUUGGAAAUCAUGUAUGACUCACCAUUUCAAGCGGAAGACAAUUCCUAAAAGUUUAACAAAAAGGUUUAUUCUUUCCGUAAAGACUUAUUUUCUUUCGAAUUGGACUGUCACACAUUGGAUUUGCUCAAAAAGGUUCAAAUCAAUUCAUAUCUUACAUUUUCAUUGAGUGUAUAUGUAAGUGUUGGCAUUAAGUCACCUCUAGCUUUUUUUGGUAAAGUUUGUCCUCCAGGAAAUUGGUGCUAGAGGAUGAAAAUGAGGCUAAAUCUUAAUAAAUCAUUUUUCUAAGAAGCAUCAUCUUAGUUUGUUGCAGAAGUGAAAGAUUAUGAUUUUUUGAUGUCGCUGUGAAGAUGAGUAUUUUUUUAAAGAGAGAGAGAGAAUUUUUAAUAUUUAUUUUUCAGUUUUCUUUGGAUACAACAUCUUUAUUUUAUUUUAUGUGGUGCUGAGGAUCGAACCCGGCGCCCCACGCAUGCCAGGCAAGCGUGCUACCACUUGAGCCACAUCCCCAGCCCAAGAUGAGUGUUUUUAAGAGAACAGAAAAAAAUGUAUCUAGAUGUUCUUCUUCUUCUUUAUGACUAGUAUAUUCUAGAGACAAUGCAAAUUAAACUUGGGUUUUCAGUUUGGUUUGCUUAUUUGAGAGACCCGGGCUGGGGCUGGGGCUGGGGUUCAGUGGUAGAGCACUUGUCUAGCACGUAUGAGGCACUGAGUUCAAUUCUCAGCACCACAUAUAAGUAAAUAAAUAAAAGUCAAUCAACAACAGAGAGAGAGAGAGAGAGAGAGAGAGAGAGAGAGAGAGAGAGAGAGACCCUUAUGUUUUCUUGACCCCUCUUCAUAAAUCCUGUUGAGUAGGAAAUUGAUCUUGGAUUCUUUCUGAUUAUGCAGUUAAAGAUCACCCACUUUAGUUGUUUGAUGGUGUUUGCAUUCACGUUGGGCAGUCACCCAAGGCACCCAUUUCCAGCUCCAGGCAGGUAACAUCCUAAGGUGCCCCCCACCCCCCACACACACAGUGCAGCUUCCCCUGCCGGAUCUGAGAGCCUCCUCCUGUGACUCCCUGACUCCCAGGAUGAUCCCUUUAUACGAGGGAACUUUGCAGAUAUAAUCAAGGUUAUUCACCAGUUGACUUAAAAAUGGGGAGAUUAUCUGGACGAGACUAAACUCAUCAUCAGUCCUUUGAAAUCCAAGUUUUCUUUGGCUGAUAACAGGAAGGGAAGUUAGAGAGACUGACAGUGGAUUUCUAUGGCUGGCUUGGAGAUGAGGAGGCUGUGGGACAAGGACCUGGGUGAGAGAGAUCUGAAGGAGCUGAGGACACCCAAGGCUCACAGCCAGCAGGACAUGGGGACUCCAGAAGUGGCAAGGAUCUGAAUAUGGCUGGAUUUCCCCCCCCCCCCCCCUGAGCUUCUAGACAACAGACCUGGACUUUGACCUUCUGCAACUUUGAGCAGAGAACCUAGUUGGGCUGGCUUGGGUUUCUGACGUACAGAACCGGGAGAUAACAAAUGGGUGUUGUUUUAAGCUGUAAAGUUUGUUAUGCAGUCCUAGAAAUUUAUUAUUUGUUAUGCAAUAAUAGAAAACGAAUACACAGCUAUCGUGCAAUCUCAGUAAUAAACCAUUUGAUUUGUUCCCAGUUUUAUUGCUGUUUCCUGGAAUAAUGAAUGCCAUUCAUUUUUUUUUUAAUUUUUAUUUUUUUAGUUAUGGACCAAAGUAUUUUGUCUGUUUUCUAAACCUUUGUGAGAAUUCAGGCAAACUGCAGCCUACCUUCUUGGGAUGGCUCCUGCUCGUUCUUGCCACUCAGUGUGUGAUCUGUGGACCAGCAACAAGAGCAACACUAGGGAGCUUAUUAGAAACUCAGAAUCUUGGGCCUUCCCCAGAGCUCCUGAUGCAUAAGCUACCUCUGAGAUCCCUCCCGUGAUUUGGGUGCUCAUUAAAGUUUGAGAAGUGUAACUGUUACCCUCAAACUGCAGAGUAUGCUUUUAUGGAGUUUAAACCCCCCAAACCACCACCUGUUAGCCCAGACUGGAGCCUAGACUGCUCCUCUCCCGGGUAGUGGGGCUUCUUCUGUUCCCGAGUCCAAAUCUGGCCAAUUAUCAGGGAACUUUGACUCUGAUUCUUCUUCCUCUGGGUCUCUGAACCUCCUCUAGGUUCUAUGCCUGUACUUGAGGGGUCACAUUUCCUCAGCCACAGUGGGACCUGGCUGCCCCAGGUCAUUUCUACUUAGGGAACCAAAGCCCACCCCCACCCUGAUUGUGUGUAGUUAAGAAAUGCCUUGAAACAAAGGCAUGUGAGCCCUGUCCCCAACUGUGCCUGUCAUAAUCAUAUACCAGAGACAGGCAGGUGACGGCUCCCAGGCUCCGGGAGCUUCCUGCAGCCCUCAGAGAGGGUGUGGGUGACAGUGUGGGCAACUUCUUCAAGCACACACUGCAGGUGGCGCAGGGGAUUGAGGCCAGUGUCCUCUGGAACGAGCACAUCUGGGCUAAUGUCUUUGCCCCUCUCCUGUCUCUCCCCCCUGACUUCGCCUUCCCAGGGAAUGGGAAUGGGAAUGCUCUCACCCUGCACUCUCACCUGGCUUCCGCUUCCUGGGUCAGCCCUCUCAUCUCACCUCCCCCCACACUUUUGUUCAACCCACAGACACCGAGGUUCUAAUUCCUUCAGGAACCCUUCCUUUGAAUUUUCCCUCCCAACGUCUCAGUGAGGGGCCCCUGGCCAUCACCUCCGUGGUGUCUGGGCCAUCCAUUGUAGCACAAAACCACUCCAAAUUCAGGGCUCAAACAACCAUCUAGCUUUGCUCACAGUUCCGCAGGUCAGGAGUGCAGGAAGAGCUUAGCUGGGGGCUCUUUUCUCGGGGCUCCUCUGUAGAUUCAGUGAGGUGUCAAGCUGGGGCAAUGGUCAGUUUUGGGUUUGACUGGGCUGAUCAUCCAAGAUGGUGGCUGGGGAUGUCGCCUCUUGGCUGGGAGCUCAGGAGGCACUUUGACUGGAACACCUACACCUGGCCUCUUCUCAGCCUGUCUUGGUUGGAAUGUGUCCCCCAGAAGUUCAUGUGUUGGGAACGUAAUCCUCAUAUUCCUAUGUUAAUGCUAUUUGAACGUGGAGUCUUUGGGAGACAAUUAGGGUUGGAUGAGGUUGUGAGGCUGGGGUUCCCGUGAUGCAUCAGUGGUAGCUCUAGAGAGACCCAAGCUGACCCUUGCUCCUUCUCAUCACGCGGCGCUCCCUGCAGGACAUGAUAGAGCAAGGAGGCCCUGACCCAAUGCUGGUUCUUACUCUUGGACUUCCUAGCCUCCAGAAGCAUAAACCCAAUAAACUUCUGUUCUUUAUAAACUACUCUCCUAACAAAAGAUAGCAGCGGAAAAUGCACUAAGAUAACAGGAGUUCCCCAAAAACAGAGGCCUCCAAGCUUUCUGUGGUCUUGCCUUAGAACUUCUACAAGUCUCAUGCUCCACAUCUCCAUUGGUGAAAUGGGUCAUGUAAGUCAGCCCAGAUUCCAGAAGAGGGGACUUGGGGCCCCCCUUUAGUGGCAGGAACAGCUUCCUCAGUUGCACUUGACCAUGGGCCUCCCUGAUCACAGCUCCCUCCAGCAGGCACCCCAUCUUCUUGCAGGGUGGGGGUCCCUCGUCACAUGGGUUCUCCAGCCCCGUCCACACCUAUCUGUAGACUGAUGAAAUGAAUCAAAACAAAACUCAGCAAAACUGGGGGAGAGACAACCGUGGAAAUGUACAGAAGCAACCCAGAUAGGAUGUGUGUUUGUUGUGUGCGUCGCUAGACUUAAAGCACAGGGAGAGUUGAUCAGUCUGGUCUGUCCCAGGGAGGGUGUCCACUGUGGAUCUGAGCCCUUGAUUUAGAGAGCCUCUGAACACUUCUUCUUCUUCUUCUUUUUUUUUUAAACCAGGAUUUGAACUCAGGGGUGCUUGGCCUCAGAAGCAUAUCCCCAACCCCUUUUAUUUAUUUAUUUUUAUUUUGAGACAGGGUCUCACUAAGUUAUCUUGAGGCUGGCUUUGAACAUGGGAUCCUCCUGCCUCAGCCUCCCAAGCCACUGGGAUUACAGGCGUGUGCUAACUGUGUCUGGCUGUAAAUAAAUGCUUCUUAACGGAACAGUUUGUUGUGGUGACUGUCACAGAAGGACUUUAGCCUGGAAGCCAGGUAGGCGUAGGGGCAUGGGGCACAUCCCACACCUUUCUAACGUGGAGGAACGGGGUUUCUCUACUGGUCUUCCUGGGAGAAGAUUCUCUGAGCUCUUAGUAGUGCCCACUCAAGCCCCUGACAAUACCAGUUACCAGAAGGGCCUCCCAAGCCUUCUAUCAAGGGCAUCUCUGCAGCAAGGGUUGUGCUGAGCUUGUGUUAGGAAAACAGCUCUCUCACCAAUACUCAGGCAAAAUGAGCUUCUGCAGCCCCCUGUUAAACUCUCUAGUUUGCAGAAAUUUAUUUACAGCAAAAUGCUGGUUUCCCCACAAACAUCCUGCUUGGCUAAAUAUAUCGCCUGCUCCUAGAACACGGCCUGUGGUCAUCGAGUGUGGGUUUUGCCUUCCUUUCUGCACACUGCACUCUAUGUCCUCUUUCCCUCCUGUGGUCCUUGGGCAUUAGGGGGAUGGGGACCUCAGCCCCAGUCUCUUCUAACACAGGCAUCUCAGAGCACAAGCCCUGCACCAGGCAGACCUGUGACAGGUCUGUGACCAGGAAGGAGGAUGCGGGUGUGCAGGAGCAGGGCCUGCGGGAGUCAGGUUUGGUCCACUGCUGGGCACGCUUUUUUUUUUUUUUUUUUUAAUCUAACUCACCUGAGAGAGCUUUUUGGGUGAACCUUGCCCUGCUGGGUCUCUGUGACCAAUGGAAGGACUUGGAGACGCUCAUAUCUGAAGGGACAGCCCUGCCUCCCACCAGAAGCCCAGGUGCAAAGCAAUGGCUGCUGGGAACACUGAGUGCAUCCAGGGAGUGGCCAGCCUGGCCGUGUCCAUCCCCCGGGCAAGGAGAGGCCAGGGCCCUGCAGGCAAGGGAGGAAAAGGGAAGAAAUCCAAUCCCACGCUGUUUCUCCUCACACGACAAGAAGGCGGUGGCACCAGGAAGCUGCAAAGAGCAGAGACUGCUUAGGUCAUGCUGGUGAGCGGGCCCCAGCCCAGAGCUCAACCCUAGGGAUCUCCAAGGAGAAGGAAUUGCUCCCCCCCCCCCCCCCCCCCCCCCCCCCCCCCCCCGNCCCCCUCCCCCUCCCCCUUUCCUCCCCUCCCCCUCCCCCUCCUUUUCUUCUUUUUCUUUCUCUGUACCGGGGUUUGAGCCCAGGGGUGUUCUACCACUGAGCCACAUCCACAGCCCUUGUGUUCUGAGACAGGGUCUUGCUAUGUUGACCAGGCUGCUGUCAAACUUGAUAUCUUACUGCUUUACCUCCUCAGUCUCUGGGAUUACAGGUGUGCACCACCAUGAUGAGUUCUCUUUCUUUUCCCCGCCUUCUCUCCCUUCUCUCUCUUUCUGUGUCUCUUCCAUAUAGAGAAAUGGGGCACAAGAAAUAUUGGCCUUAGGUGAGAAGAACAUGGGCCGUAGGUGAGAGUGUGAGUGUGGCGGGAUCUGGGCCACGGGUUGCUUUUCCUAAUGCUCCAGAUGAGUUGCCUUGACACACCUGUGCCAUCUCUCAGAGCCCCAUGUCUCACCUGGAUAUUGGGGUCUCUGUGCAUCCACACUAGGGUUUUACGAGGGUUAAACCUGUCAUGUUAUAUAUAAAGCCUGCAACACAGGGCCCCACACAGAGUGAGCGCUCAAUAAAGAGCAGUUGGUGUCUUUUAUUCUGUGGUUUUGUGACAAAUAGCAUUAACGAAGCAUCUACCUGACAGUAGAAAGUUCACAGCCGCCGCCGCCUGGGUCUUCCCCACCAACGCUUUCCUAGCUUUCACUUACCUGUUAUGAACCCUCACAGGAAGCUGGCCUUUGGGCCAUCUCACAUGGUCUGAGCCAAUUCUAUUGCUGCUGUUCAUCUAGUGGCCCCAUAAAUACCAAACAGCCUUCCAGAACCUUCGUGGCCUUGAGAGUCCUGCUCAGAUCCAGGCUAAGUCUUGGAGUUGUCUUUGAUCUGAAUCCUCCAUGACCAAGAUAUCAAAUGACUGUUUAAGAAGAGUUAAUAACACAGAGAGUAUCUCCUUAUUUGAGCUUUUACUUUCUGCAGUUUUAGUUAACCAAGGCUGUCUGCGAUCUGAAAAUAUUAAAUAGAAAAUUUCAGAAAUACAGAAUUCUCAACUUGUUCUUUUUUUUUUUUUUGAGAUGGGUCUUACUAUGUUGGGACCAGGCUGGACUUGAAAUCCCAGGCUCAAGAGAUCCUCCCACCUUGGCCUCCUGAAGCCCAAGUCAAUGUACCUAACUCCAAUUUGUGAGUUUUAAAGGGCACACACUCUUCUGAGUGUUUUGAUGAAAUCUCAUACCAUUCUGCUCCUUGCCACCUGAAACAUGAAUCAACCCUUUGGUCAGUGUAUCCACACUGUGUACCUUACCCACCCAUUAGUCACUCAGCAGUUUAUCAUAUGGACUAUUGUGGUUGUAGUGCUUCUAUUCUAGUAACCCUAUUUUAUUUCAUAAUGGCCCUCAAGCACAAAAAUAAUGAGGCUGAUAAUUCAGAUAUGUAUGCCAAAAAGAAGCCAUAAAAUACUCCUUAUAAGUGAAAAGGUGGAAAGUUCUUGACUUAAUAAAGAAAAAAAAUCAUAUGUUAGAUUUUCUAAGAUCUGUGCUAAGAAGGAAUGAGUGAAAUGUUGAGGAAGGGAAAAGAUAUUCAUGCUGAUUUUGCUGUCACAUCUCAAAGUGCAAAGUCAAGGCCAGAAUGUGUGGUAACUGCUUUGUUAAGAGAAAAAGGCAUUAAAUUAUAGGGUUCAACACUGUCCAAGGUUUCAGGUAUCCACUGAGGGCCUUGGCACAUAUGCCUGGUGGGUAAGGGGGCAUUACUGUACUUUCUUGUGUACUGAAAUGAUUUCAUGGUGCAGACUGGUAAGUAAGGUGCACUUUAAAAAAACAGCCAUCAUGCUGUAUUUGAGGAAAUUACUGUCCCCCCCCCCCGAAUUCUUUAGUAUCUGAUAAAUUUCUUCAAAACACAAGUUGUCUUUUCCUAAUGCACAAAACUGGCAUCUUUACACUCUGAAAACCAAGGGUGAAAUAGUCCAGAAUCUUCUUAGACCUACUUCCAAGUGUCAGUUGGAGCCUGAGGGGACUGUCCAGGUGUUGAUGCCGCAGCCAGGUGGCAUGGCCCUUUCAGUUCCGACUCUCUCAUCCAUCCUGGGGUCCCAGGCAGAUGGUGAAGGGAUCCUAGUCAUGGUCAUAGGUCAACUUUCCUCCCAUGUUCUGCCUAAGCGUGGUGGGGAAGUGACCUCAGAGUGUGAGAGGGUCUCACGCUUGUUCGGCCGACUCACAGAGGGCUCCCCGGCAGCCUGAGACCCCCUAACCCAGCUGCAGACAGAGAACUGGGGAACCCAGAGAGCAGGAAAAAAAUGAAUGGACCUAAAGUGACUGGAGUGAUCAGGGUUGCCCAGGGCCCAGGAUAAUGUGGGAUCCCUGCCCUGGUGAGGGGACUCGGGCAGCACCAGCAGCAGGGGAGACAGUCCUCCAUCCCUGGGAAGAGGCUGGUCCCUCCCACUCAGACUCUGUCCCCAACACAGAAAGAAGGGGAGUGGGGCAGGGGCGGGACCUGCCUCUACCCUCCUACACACACCUUCAGAUUGUCACCCCACCUGGUGACAGUCAUAGAUCCACGGCAUCUGAGGGUUUUCUUGGAUUGCCAGGAGAGUUUUGGUCCCCUCUGUGGACAUGAAGAGAUGUUUGAAGAUAUGAAGCCAAGUUCACUCAGGGUACAGGGAGCAGGCAGCGAGAUGGGGGCUUUGAAGUCGUGCUAUCUGAAUCCCAUGCUGGGAUGUGAGUGAGGCCCAGGAGGAGGGCACCACUGUACAGGGAGUGACAAAGUACACAACCCAUGGGAGCUUUAUCUGAUUCCCCAUUAUUUGGUCUAAAAUAACUGAGACCCCACUUUAUGCUCUCACUGUGCUGAGGGUCUUAGAGGACCCCGGGCUCCUAAGGCUUCUGCCUGAUGCCCUCUGUCUGGCUUCUGUGUGCUGUGCAUGUUGCCAAUCCCUGUGGCUCCAAGGGAGCCUGUCCUUGAGCUGCCCUUGGGCUACCUGUGAGCUGGAUGGCCUGAGUGUGAGCAGAGAACCUGGUGACAGGUCUUUGUGCCGUUGAGGAUGAGGGCUGCGUUCACUCCUCUCUCUUGCCCUCUGCUCUGGUCCUACCCUGACUUGUUCCCAGCUGCUUGCUGAUGGCCACUGCUCCCCAGGCUCCUAUGGGAUGCAGCUGAACACAGACACUCCAGAGGGGAGUGUUGAGAGUGGCAGGCAUUGGCAAGUAGGGAGCCUUCCGCAUCUGUGGGGUCUGUGUUCUGGGAUUCAAUGCAGCACAGGUUGAAAAUAUUCAGAGGAAAAAUUGUGUGUGUGUUGACCAUGGACAGGCUUUCCCUUGUCAGUAUUCUUCCAACACUACAAUGUUCAACUCUAGAGUAUUUGCAUCAUAUGAGGUACUAUCAGUUAUCUAGAGAUGAUCUACAGUCUGUGGGGGGAAGUGCGUAGGUUAUAAGCAAAUACCAUGCUGUUUCACAUCAGGGCCUUGAGAGAAAAGAGGGGUGGUACUGCUCGUGGGGGGGGAGGAGCCCUCCCUGGAAGUGGUGAUGGACACCGAGACACAAGCACGCAGGGGAGGGAUUGGCCAGACGACGGGGGAGGGAGGACUUGUGCCCUGUACCGGGGUCAUGGACAGCAGUGACAUGACUUUGGGUACAGCAUAAAGGGCUGGGUGAUGGGAGUCAACAGAAGCUUAGGUAGGGUCCCCUGUGACCAAGGAGGGACUAGAGAGGACAGACUCAGCAAGGGGUGGAGGCAUGAGGAGCGAGGCUCAGGAUGGCCACCCUGCUCCUUCUCAUUUGAGAAAUGGGACGCCUGGGGUCGAUUCCUAGGCCGGGAGCACAGGACAGGGGAGGGGCUCCUAGUGGACCUGGUGCUCCACAAUGGGACAAUGACAUCACGAUGUCAUAGCAGGGAAGCUGCUAAACAGACCCUUAGAAUGAUCCUUCUGUUUUACUGGAAUGGAACCACCAUUGGACCCAGUCAUCCCACUCCUAGGUUUAUACCCAAAGGACUUAAAAUCAGCAUAAUAUAGUUAUGUGAUCACAUCAAUGUUUAGAGCAGCUCAAUUCACGGAAGCUAAACUACAGACCAACCCAGGUGCCCUUCAACAGACGAAUGGAUAAAGAAACUGUGGUUUCUGUGUGUGUGGGGGUGGGUGGGUGUAUUAUGGAAUAUUACUCAGCCUUAAUGAAGAAUGAAAUUAUGGCAUUUGCCAGUAAAUGGAUGGAACUGGAGAAUAUCAUGCUAAGCAAAAUAAGUGAGUCCCAAAGAAUCAAAGGCCAAAUGUUUUCUCUGAUAUGUGGCGAAUGCUAAUUCACAAUAAGGAGGGGAGAAAAAGGAUGGGAGGGGGCCUGGGGGUAGGAAUGAUAGCAGAAUGAAUCAGACAUUAUUAACCUAUGUGCGUAUAUGACUUCAUGACCUGUGUAACUCUACAUCACGUACAACCAGAAGAAUGAGAAGUUAUACUUCAUUUACGUAUAAUGUAUUAAAAUGCAUUCUACUGUCAUGUGUACCUAAUUAGAACAAAUAAAAAGAAUGAUAUUUCUGUUUUUUGAACAUCCUUUUUAUGAAUUUGGCUACAGAGUUAAGUCACUUAAUGUUUUCCUUAAAAGCAACUUUUAGACAGGGUUGGGGACCCAGAGCAGGAGUAGAACACUUGCCUAAUAUGCACGAGGCCUUGGACCAGAGAUCCCUAGCACCAGAGAAAAAUAAUUUUUAGACAUAUUUUAAAAUAAACCUCUGCUUAUCUCAAGCAAUUUUGCCUGUGAGAUAUCACAAGUUAGAUAUGCAGGCAUCGCUAAGCUGUUAGGAUUACUGAAGUAUAGGAGUCUGGGUGCUUACACCUAAGAGCACCCUGCAUGCCUCACCCUUGGCUGUGACCCUGGUCUUUUGGAAAUAGAUGGAUUUGGAUCCCAGGCACCACGAUGCCCAUUUUCAGUAGUGCUUUUUUAUGCUUGGACAUUGGGUACUUCUCCGAAAAAUGAGAAUGCCACAACAUGCACAUCUGAACAUCUGAAAUUGUUUUUUUGUUGUUGUUGUUUGUUUUGGGUGCUGGGAUGGAACCCAGGGCUUCUGGAAUACCAGGAGAUCACUGUCCCACUGAACCACACCCUCAUCCCCUGUUGUUCCAUGUUCACACAUAUCUUUUUUUUUUUUUCUUGGUUCCUCUGUUUGCUGGGUGUUGUCUAAUACAGCAGGCGAAGGACUACUUGGUAACAGUGCAUGGGGAGGGGUCCAUCAGCGACUGUGGAGUGGGGUCUUCUCUAAGAUAUGACCCCAAGCAUUUGGCCCGCCUUCAGAGACCUACCCAAUUUGCCGAGUAUUCUGGAGAAGAUUGUGAAAGCAGUGUCCUAGCUGCACGGCUGUCUCCCUGAAGAUUUUGACUCAGUAGUCCCGGACAGACUGACAGUCCACAUUUGUAGCAAGCUCCCAGAGGGGCCGAGCACCAGGAAAUGAGCCCUGUUUCUCUGCCUGGGCUUUUAGCUCCAUGUCUCCCCGAGAUUAACAUCAAAACUGCAUGUUUACCUCCCACAGGUUUGAAAACUUCACAGUGAAUUCAAUACUGUGCCUAAAACCAAGUGAGCUCCACCCAGUCUGCACGUCUCUCUGCUGUGGCCUACCCAUCUCUACACCUGGAAGUGGCAGGGUGGUCCCAUCACACCCAGGACCUGGGAAAACUAAUUAGAGGUGGCACCCAGAGUCCCACGGUGCCCACACCUCCUUCUGCAUCCCUCUCCCUGCGGGACCCACUGCCCACAUAUCCUCUUAGGUCUUUGCUUUACCUGUCACCAAAAAAGAAACCUUGCCAGGUAACCUCAGAGGGCUUUUCCAAUGAGACCAGGGCCAUUUUUUUUUUUAGUUGUUGAUGGACAUUUAUUUAUUUGUUAAUUUAUAUGCGGUGCUGAGAAUGGAACCCGGGGCCUCACACAUGCUAGGCACGUGCUCUACCACUGAGCCACAACCUCAGCCCCAAGACCAGGGACUUUUGAUCUUAAAUCAUCUUUUCAUCUUUUCCAGCACGUGGUCAAAGGACCUCUGGCCUCCUCCCUAACUUCCAGGAAAGAGGCCUCAAACGGUAUUUGCACUGCCGGUGCCCACGCCAGCCGGCUUUCCAGACCAGGCUGUACCCAGGCCCAUCAGGGACACAGACCCUGCCAGGGACAGUGGGAAGAACCACAGGCUAGACCAGGGCCACUGGAACUUCAUUUGUGAAGGAUCAGAUAGGAGGUCUUUCGGGUUCGGUGAGACACUCGCGUCCCAUCCCAACUCAUCCCCACCUCUGCGCCCACAGGUGAGAUGUGAAGGGAAAGGUUCCCUGUGUUCCAGGAAGGCUCCAUUCACAAACAGCAGGCAUCGACUCGGUUUGGUCCACGUGCUGUAGUCUGCUGCAGCAUUUCUCAGACUUUGAACAGCACAGAGAUGUCUGUGCCAGGAGAGUCCCAGCCAGACCCACCAUGGAGCCUGGGGAUGUGGGGGACGGAAGGGACCCAGGCCAGCAAGGUCCACCAGGCCACCCUCCUGGGCAACCGCUGUGAGGCAGGAUGGCUCUCCAGGACUCAAAGCGCACCCAGGGGGGAUGGCGGGGGCCACAGCAUGCACCUGAGGCGAGGCCUCGCUGCUGUGGCCACCUGCCCCGUCACCAAGCCUCCUGGGGUAGGACGACCUUAGAGCACUGCAGCAGAGCACUGACGGAGACACUGGGACAGCUCAGAGACAGACAGCGUGGGGACAAACCUGAGACCCAGUUUGAGAUGAGGACUGAAUGUACUUUGAGAGACUCUGAUAUUAGGGUAUGGAUUCAUCUUUCUGUAGGAACUUAAUGGCAUGGAUCGAUUUUUUUUUCCAGGAGCAUGUGCUAGUAAAUAAAAUAACAGUUUAAAAACCAGUCUAGCUGGCAGGCACAAAUCCCAGGGGCUCGGGUGGCUGAGGCAGGAGGGUUACAAGUUCAAAGCCAGUCUCAGCAACUUAGCAACACCCUGUCUCAGAAUUAUAAAUAAAUACAUAAAUAAAGGGCUGGGGAUACGGCUGAGUGUUAAAGCAAAACUGAGUUCAAUCCCUGGCACCAAAUACACACACACACACACACACACACACCUGCCCCCCCCUGCCCCCCCCAUGCACCGAAGCCUGUGUUCACUCCACUCAUCAACUGUGUGUCCUCCAGCAAAUAAUUUGCCAGAAACCCUUUACCUCUCCCUGAUCACCCCCCACCCCGUUUUUUCCUCUGCCUUGGUACUUGGGGACCUUUUGCUGGGCCACUAUAAGGAGUGGAAAUAGUGUACUUGGAAUCUGCAGCUCAGGAUCAGCCUGAGAGCAGCUGUUAGGUAAAUGUCAAACAGGGCACGAGAGCUACCUGGGUGGCUUCCCCACCCAAGAAGGGACCUCACCUGUGGAUAAAUCCAUGUGUCGCUCUGUGUGGGCGAGGGGUGCCUAGCUGAAACAUUCUGGGCAUGCUGGAGGGUGUUUCUGGAUGAGAUUAGCAUUUGACUCACAGACUAAGCAAAGCAGAUGGGCCUCCUGGGUGGGGACCUCACUUCAUCCAUUGAGGCCUCAAUGGAGAAAGGGGAGAAAAGUCCGAGGGAUUCUGCUCCUUUCUUUCCCGCCUCCUUUUCUGAGCAGAGAUGCUGCAUUUCCUCUUCCCACCCUUGGACUGAGGUCCACCUCUCCAGCACCCUUGGUUCUAGGCCUUUGACUUGAGCCAAACACCACCACAGGCUUCUCUGGGUCUCCCAUGGCUCCGAGGCAGCGGAUCUUGGGACUUCUCCUUAAUAGAGCAGUCGGGUCCCCAGCACUCACUCCUUGCUCUCUGUACGUCCUCUCGGUUCUGGUUCUGUGUUUCUGGAGAACCCUGACCAACGGGGCGUGAUGGGGAAAGAUGGUCCACAUGUGUGCCUGGCUGGGUCCUGGCUUUCCUCAGACCAUGUGGCCCUGUGCUCUGCCCAGGUUCUUGGGGCAACAGAGGGGAGGAAGAAGGGAGGAAGACACACUGUGGAGGGCAGAGGCACCUGCUGCAGGGCUCACGGGGCAGCGCGUGGUGGCCGAGCUGUGUGGGAGGCAGUGGGCAGGAAACCGAGAGGGCUGGGGGCUAGGAGGACAGGGAGAAUGCAUCUCCUGUUGGUCACAGUCCUUCUGGGUGCUCAGACACCAGCAGACCAGGCUUGGGUUAUGCUGAAUACCCUUCCGUGAUCGAGCCGUCGGAAUCAGCACCCAGUCCAUGCACAAGGGCCCUUUCCUUAGACCACAGUGCAGCCACCACACCACAGACCAAAUGCUGAAGCCUUCAUACAGCAUAGAAUGGAAACUUCCAGAAUGGUGAACAGCUUGGUGAGCAGGUCAGUGUGGGCCGGCACUCCAAAUGUGGGUGUCCUUGGAAAGGAGAGGUCGGGACUACUUUUGUAUCUUUUCUCAACAAACUCAUUCAUUCUUAGAGAUAACUGUAUGCAAACCAGGAACAAGGGGCUUCCUGAAUCACCAUGAAGUCCUGGCUUUACUUGGAAGGAGAGGAUGUCCCCACAGAGGGAUGGGGAGACUUUGAUUCCCCAGAAGAAGAGCUGAUUGAUCUUUGCAUGUCUGACCAGUGUGGCUGGAAAGUGCACGUGAGGUCCUCUGGCCCCACUGAGGGUGUCCUUGCCCCAGCUCUGGCUGCCAGCAGGGGCCUACCUUGGCUCCCUCCUCAGUGCCAUCCUGAAUCCUGAAACCUAUGAUGUCACAGGCAUCCUUGUUCUCUGAAGCCACCUGCUGUGGCCUGAAUGUUUGUAUCCCCCCACCCCCAAAUUCAGGUGUUGAAAUCUAAACCCCCAGCAUGAUAGUAUGAGCAGGUGGAGGCUUUGGGAGGUCCUCAGGUGGAGGGUGGAGGCCCACAGGUGGGAUCAGUGUCCAUGUAAGAGGUAGCCCCAGAGCGGCCUGGUCUCUUCCGUCAUGAGAAGACUCAGUGAGUAGACACCGUCUUUGAAUCAGGAAGCAGAUUCUCACCUGAUGUGGAACGUGCUGACACCUUGUCCUUAGAUUUCUCAGCUUCCAGAACUGUGAGAAAUACCUUUCCAUUGUUCUGCUGUAGCAGCCUGAACAGACUGACCUCCCCUCCUACCCUCUCCAGGCCUCUAGCCAGGGACCGUUCUGUGCUUUUGUGGGUUCACAUAAUUGACUGGACUUGCCUGGAUGACCCAGGAUAAUGUCCCUAUUUUCAAGUCCCUGCCCCGGUUACACCUGCAGAGUCUCUUCUGCCAUCCAAUAGAACACAUUCCAGGUUCCAGGUCCCAGGUCCCAGGGCGUGGGCAUCUUUGGGGCAUGCCACCUCAGACUGGGGAGAGAGAGCAUUUGUUGGGGACAGGGAGCCCAAACCACCACAGCUUCUGCAGGAGCCCCGGCACCUUCCACUGCAGGGGGAAGGAGGGCCCUCCAUGGAGCCUGCUCUCCAGAUGUGAUGGAGGAACUGUGACUAACAGCGCUUGUUUUGAUUUGUGCUGUCCCUGAAGAAUGGACAUAAUCGGAUGGAUUUUUCAGUGAAAAUACCACUAAGACCAUGGGCUAGAUCCCUAGUGCACCAUGUCUUCAAAAAAAUGGUCAUUUUGAAAUGACAGGCACCUUUCCUUAAGAUAUCCUAGAAACCCAGAGUAAAGUCAAGGAUCUGCGAGAACACCCGAGUGGACGUUCUAUGUGAAGAGGAAUGAGAGGUGCUCACCCUGGGGAAGCAUCCCAGUCUUCAGUGUGUUCGUUUUGAUAAGAUUCACUUUAAAAAGGCUCAGAACCCACAAGCUCCACGUGUGGUCAAACUGCUGCAGAGAGCAGGGGUGACGUACGAGGUGAAGGAAACAGAAGUCUUGUGGUUCUGUAGCUGGUUUCAUGAUGAGUGAUGAUAUUUCUCUAGAAAAACUGCAAUCCGUUAUGCCAUGAUGGUGCACAGCUUCAAUGCCACCGUGGCCUGGCACCUGACUUCAGGGAUGUGCUGACUUUCUGUUCCAAGUUCAAGGUCACAGCCCAGUGGUGUGUGUGUGUGUGUGUUUGGGGAGUAUCUUCCAGUUAUCCACUACAGGCUGUGGGUACAGCUCAGUGGUUGAGGGCUUGCCUAGCAUGUGGGCUCCAUUUCUAGUCCUCCUCCUCCCCAAAAGACACCCUGUUAGCCACUGCUGUGUAAUAAAUUGCCCAAGAUGUAGUGAUGUACAGACACCAUUUCAUUGUUCUGAGCUCCAUGAGUUUUGUGGGACUAGUCAGACAACUCUGCUGGUCCCCCUUGGGAUCCUCCCUGUUAGUGGUUCAAUGGCAACAGGGCUGAUCACCAGGGAAAUGCUGUGCCUCUCUUUCCCUCUGUAGUCCUAAGGCCUCUCUGUGCAGUCUCUCUAGCAGGUAGAACGACUUUUCAAAUCAGGAAUUGUCAAACUUUUCUGUCAAGAGCCAACUAUUUGAGCUUUGUAGGUCAUGUGGUCUUGUCACCCACGUUUCUCUCUCUCUUAUUGUGACACAGCCAUACACAGUGCAAGAAGGUGGUCAUGGCCGGCCAGGAUGACACUUUAUUCACAACAACAGGCAGUGGGCUAGAUUUGGCCUGCUUCCAGGGUGGCUCCAGAGUCUCAAGGGCACAAGAGCAGUCACCCCCUCUGUGAGCACCCAGCACAGUCCAGGCAGAGUCACCAGCGCACUUGGCUGGCUAAAGUAGGUUACAGGUUCAUUCCAGAUGCGACACUGGGGGAGCAGGGGGAUGGGUGUGGGGGAGGAAAGCAUUUCCUCUACCCUCUUAGGUUCUGUGUCUGUGACCCUGUCAAUUAAAUCGGUAAGAGAUAAACCAGAGAGAAUUUUACUUGAAGUUAAUAUUUUAUCAACAAAUAUAUAUUAAAAAAUUAAAUCACAUUUGAUGUUAAUAGUUUAAUUCUACUUAUCAGAGAUAUCACAGAAAAAGAAAUGAAAACCCCAAGAAGCAGUUAGAUCUGACACCUUCUUGGCCGUUUUAACAAAGUGGUAUAUUCUGGGGCGGCAAGUCCUGACCCCCUAUCAGCAGUUCCAGAGAAGGGGUUAUGAGGAUUUGGGGGUUCACCGGGGCUGUCCUUGGGGAAACACUCCUACGGGGGAGUGAGAGAUAUCAGAUUCCACUUGGCUUUUGUAUCGGUCUUGAAGGAGACAUUAGUGCAUGCGUUCUUAUUUCAACCAAGGAACAGAAUUCACCUUUUGAAAUGGACAUUUUACAAGCUUGAGGUACAUUUCACUCGUGAGCUGCUAGAAUGACAGUACCAGGGCUCAGUUGCUUUCUGCUUCUGCUACUCCACCAAGGUGGAGAAAAGCCUCAUUCCAAGGAUUCAGUGGAGGGACAUCUGUCGCCUCUCUUUCAUUGUUUUUACUUCUGAAUACAGGAAACAGAGAUGUCAUGUGACAAUGAGGAGGCAGGGAUGUAGUUCCCGGCCAACGUGAAACACGCCAUGUUGGGGUUGGACUGGCUUUGCAGUCCGUGUUUCUUGGUUUUCCUGUUACCCAGGAGCCCAGGGCUACUGCCCUGAUAAAGGUGUGCUUCAGUACCUGCAGGCAGAGGCAUUAUCUGUGAUGCAGCUUCUCCUGCCCACCCAGGACACUGCCAGGAACCUCCUCCACAAUCCCAUAGGAGCCUGUUACAUAAAAAUAACAGGAGGCCGUUGUUUUGGAUGAGGCUCCUGCCCUGGGCCCCAUCAGACCAGUCAAAAAAUCAAAAUGGUGUCACUCAUACUAAAGUUCCCUGUCACCAGGCUGAAACUCAGCUGUUCUCUGACUUUCCAAGAACUCAGGAUUAGAGAGAUAACAGCCAAAUUCCCCAGACCAGCAGUUUCAAUUGGCAUGAUACUGAAGUUCUCUGUGCCUUAAUCCUUACACGAAAAUCCACCUGAAAUAACCUGAUGUGGACAGACCAGUUAUUUUCCUAUUGUUCUCUCCCCCUGUCCCUGGCUUACCAGGAAAGUAAUUUUGAAAUGAAGAUUCCACCUCCUGAGUUUUCUUUUUCUUUUUUUAAUUUUUAUUUUCUUCACCUCUUUUCUAUCUAUAAAACCAAACUCUUCUGCACAACCCAUCAGGACUGUAUUUUGCAGAACGAAGCAUUGCUUGAUUCUAGAAUUGAAAAUAAGCCAAUUAAGAUCUUUCAUCAAUGGUUGUACUUUUGUCCUUGGAGUCCUCCUGCUUUCUCCUGUUUAUUCUAGGCCUGAGAUGAUCCCCCCACACACACACCCUGCAACUCCCUUCCCCAUGAAGGUGAUCUUGCAGAUCCCAAUGCGAAUCCCCUCCUCCAGGAAACCCUUCCCCAUUCGCUUUAGUUGGAUCAAUUGCUUCUUCCUGGAAGGAAGGAAGGACGGAAGGACGGAAGGGAGGGAGGGAGGGAGGGAGGGAGGAAGGCAAGCAUGCUGUGAUGUUUCCUGGAACUGUUUCCUGGAUGCCCCAGAAACACAUUUCCAUGUGAACUUGCUAGAACACUCUGACUUUCACAGAGUCCAUAAAAUAUAACUGAAAAUUAAAAGUGAUGUUCUCUGAUCCUAAUGAUUCAUCUUUUGCCUGUGAGCAAUGCUGAACCUGGUAGAACCGUUUCUGAAAUAUGUCCCCAAGUUGUUUGCUCUCAUUUCUACUUAGGACGUUUAUGUGUGUGUGCGUGCGUGUGUGUGUGUGUGUGUAUGUGACCUGUAAACCAUCAAGUCAGCAUCGAAGGGUGCCUGUACCCACCGCUCUUCAAUUUCCCAAAAAAACUUUCUCAAUGGAUCAUUAAAAAGUUCUCUCACCUUAAAAAAAAAAAAAGAGAUCCAGAAAGGCAGAUGGCCAGGAGCAGUUUGGCCUUCCUCUGUGCAGGUGGUAAAUGGCCCUUUUACGUGGGACGAGAGUGCACUCAUGUUCUUCCUCAUCCUGUUCUGUUGGUUUGGUUUUGUAUGUGAUGAGGUUUGACCAAAGCUGCCUCCCUCUCUGCCCUGAGCUGGUGCCUGGACUGAAGCAGAGAGCACCAAGGCACAGAAGGGACUCAGAGCUCUCUAGGACGGAGGGACAUCUGCCUC